RNAcentral lists this ribosomal RNA (650 nucleotides) under Acanthogorgia sp. Its description in RNAcentral is "partial 16S ribosomal RNA". It matches the Rfam family "Bacterial large subunit ribosomal RNA", at positions 1827 to 2589 of the family's 2925-position model. The record is from RNAcentral. Lineage: Eukaryota; Metazoa; Cnidaria; Anthozoa; Malacalcyonacea; Acanthogorgiidae.
UAAAGGUUACUGAAGUAUAGAGGGUGAAUUCUGCCCAAUGGUUGUAUAGUGAAACUGAGGACUAACGUCUAAAGCGAAACCCAACUGAAUGGCCGCGGUAACUCUGACCGUGAUAAUGUAGCACAAUAAAUAGCCAAUUAAUUGUUGGCGGGUAUGAAUGGAACCACGAGGGUCUUACUGUCUCAAGAGGAAAGCCAAUGAAAUUAUAGUUGUAGUGAAGAUACUACAUAAACAUUGUAAGACGAAAAGACCCUAUCGAGCUUUACUGGAUACCUAUAGCGUUAACUUAAAAUGAUCUAUACUAAGUAUUCUAAUUUUGAGUUAAUAAAAUUUGUUGGUAGGACAGUUUAGUUGGGGCGACUACCUUUGAAUAAGAAACGAAGGCGAGCUUAUGGUAUACAAAGCUAAUCUCUUUAGCCUGACAGUGAGGGGGACACCCCUAGCUGGCACAAGGACUAGGUCCUAUGUGGGCGAUAAUGACCCGAUAUGAUUGUCCGAAAUAAAUAUCGAAAGCGGAUAAAAGCUACCGUAGGGAUAACAGCGUAAUAUUGUCGGAGAGUUCUUAUCGAGGACAGUGUUUGCGACCUCGAUGUUGAAUUGCGGUGCCCUGGUGCUGUAGAAGGUACCUUAGGUUGGUCUGUUCGACCAUG